UAUUCAGUCAAUUUCUUAAUUCCCUGAGAUGCAUAUUUAUUUAGUAUUAGCACCUGUUAAUCUUUUCAGUUAUCUAUUUUUGUUUAUCUUGUUUAAAUAUGGAUGCUUCUUUAUUUUUCUAUUAGCAUCUGUUAAUCUUUCCAGGCAUCUAUUUUUUGUUUCACUAUUUUGAUUAAACUUGAAAUAGGGAGCUAAAUGUUGGAUAUUUUGCAUUUGUUUGCUGUGAGAAGUUUGUAUUUCAACAAUUGCCAAACGGUUAUUCAUGUAUUAAGGUUCCUCUUUGAUAAAAUUGGUUAAACUAGGUGACACAUCCAUUGGUUAAAGAGAGAAUUUAUCAAACUCUCUAGACGAUGGCAUGGGGGCACAAUAGUCUUUGAAUAGUGGCUAAACUUGAUAACACAAGGGCAUAAUAGUCUCACUCUUUAAAACAAGACUUUUCUAUGGUUUUUCUCUCUCACAACUAUUAGUCUUUUAUGUUGAUUUACUGUAAUAUUCAUCUAUUCUGUACUCGAUUUUAUUUUACAAGUAAUUCAGUUUUUUAAAUUUCUUUUUAUUUGUUUAUGUUAAUUUAUUUUGUUCAAUACUAGCUAUGGAAAAAAAUCAAAAAGAAAAGUGACAUUUUAAGCGUUUUUAAAAUAUGAAAAUACAUAGAGGAUAACUAUAAGAUGUAAUUUCUCUAUUAUUUUAUAUAAAAUAAUAUUGUGUGAUAUUUAACGGAUUAAUGUUAUUUAUCAUUAUGAUCAUUAUUUAUCGUUUUCGACUGAAAUAUUGUUACCAGUCGUUAAUCGACAAACAAAUAAAAGGUUCUUAAUAACAUUAGGACGUGAAGGAUAUCGUUUAGUUUUAAAGGACCGAAAUGAUAGCAAAGAGUUUCAUGUCCCAUACCUACAUAAACAUUCGGAAAAAGACCAUUAUUGAUAUGGGACGUGAAGUUACCUGGUGUAUGAGAUGUAGCGCCUGAGCCCAUGUACGUGUUCUGAUCAUGAGGGUUCAAUGCCAUGGUAUGAAACGCCUGCUCGAGAUCAGUAGAAGUGUAGCAACGCCUUCCUAAUUCUCGUUCAAACCUGCAAUAUUGAAUUGAGGAACUAAUUGUUGGUUUCUGAUCAUGAGGGUUCAAUGCCUAACAUCUUCAGGGCUUGACAAUACGAAGAAACAUCCAGGUGGUCGUACAGUUUAGUAGUAACAAACUUGUGCUCCAAGUAGACGGCUCGGGAGCUUUGAUUAUCUGGAAAAUAUUUUUCAAGGCAACCCAGGCUUGUGAAGCAGUCGAAUUUGGUUUAAGAAUAGUGAAGCAGGUAGCUAGAAAUUGUGAUGUACAUCCGUUGAAGCACAAUUAAGUCAAAACGAAAUCAAAGUACAAGCGUCAUGGCUGGUUUUUCUUUGUCUGAUGAAGAAGUUGCAGAAGUUCGGGCUACAACUUUAGGAUCAUUGGCAGGGCGGCUUUUCGCUCGCAGUGUUAAUUUUAGCUAAAAUUUCCG
This 1478-nucleotide long non-coding RNA is filed under the name Helianthus annuus (common sunflower). RNAcentral describes it as "hypothetical non coding rna". Lineage: Eukaryota; Viridiplantae; Streptophyta; Magnoliopsida; Asterales; Asteraceae. The record is from RNAcentral.